RNAcentral lists this ribosomal RNA (694 nucleotides) under uncultured bacterium. RNAcentral's name for it is "bacterial SSU rRNA". It matches the Rfam family "Bacterial small subunit ribosomal RNA", at positions 99 to 795 of the family's 1533-position model. The record is from RNAcentral.
CGGACGGGUGAGUAACGCGUGAGUAAUCUGCCGAGAAGUGGGGGAUAGCUCGCCGAAAGGCGAAUUAAUACCGCAUGUGAUAGCAAUAUUAAAGUCGGGGUAACCUGACGCUUCUUGAUGAGCUCGCGGCCUAUCAGCUUGUUGGCGGGGUAACGGCCCACCAAGGCUAUGACGGGUAGCUGGUCUGAGAGGACGACCAGUCACACUGGAACUGAGACACGGUCCAGACACCUACGGGUGGCAGCAGUCGAGAAUUUUUCUCAAUAGGGGAAACCCUGAAGGAGCGACGCCGCGUGGAGGAUGAAGGCUUUCGGGUCGUAAACUCCUGUCAUUAGGGAACAAUUGUCAGCGAUUAACUGUCGCGGACUUGAUAGUACCUGAAGAGGAAGGGACGGCUAACUCUGUGCCAGCAGCCGCGGUAAUACAGAGGUCCCAAGCGUUGUUCGGAUUCAUUGGGCGUAAAGGGUGCGUAGGUGGUAGACUAAGUCGGAUGUGAAAUCCCAGGGCUCAACCCUGGAACUGCAUUCGAUACUGGUCUGCUCGAGGACUGGAGAGGAGAUUGGAAUUCAUGGUGUAGCAGUGAAAUGCGUAGAUAUCAUGAGGAAGACCAGUGGCGAAGGCGGAUCUCUGGACAGUUCCUGACACUGAGGCACGAAGGCUAGGGGAGCAAAUGGGAUUAGAUACCCCAGUAGUC